This 861-nucleotide ribosomal RNA is filed under the name Zasmidium musicola. Its description in RNAcentral is "LSU rRNA". It matches the Rfam family "Eukaryotic large subunit ribosomal RNA", at positions 67 to 964 of the family's 3401-position model. Lineage: Eukaryota; Fungi; Ascomycota; Dothideomycetes; Mycosphaerellales; Mycosphaerellaceae. The record is from RNAcentral.
AACAGGGAUUGCCCUAGUAACGGCGAGUGAAGCGGCAACAGCUCAAAUUUGAAACCUGGCGCUUGCGUCCGGAUUGUAAUUUGUAGAGGAUGCUUCUGGGCAGCGGCCGUUCUAAGUUCCUUGGAACAGGACGUCAUAGAGGGUGAGAAUCCCGUAUGUGACCGGCGCGCACCCUCCACGUAGCUCCUUCGACGAGUCGAGUUGUUUGGGAAUGCAGCUCUAAAUGGGAGGUAAAUUUCUUCUAAAGCUAAAUAUUGGCCAGAGACCGAUAGCGCACAAGUAGAGUGAUCGAAAGAUGAAAAGCACUUUGGAAAGAGAGUUAAAAAGCACGUGAAAUUGUUGAAAGGGAAGCGCUUCCAACCAGACUCCGCGGCGGUGUUCCGCCGGUCUUCUGACCGGUCCACUCGCCGCCGUGGGGCCAACAUCGUCUGGGGCCGCCGGAUAAGACCGGAGGAAUGUAGCUCAUUGAGUGUUAUAGCCUCCGGUGAUGCGGCGCGUCCCGGGCGAGGUCCGCGCUUCGGCAAGGAUGUUGGCGUAAUGGUUGGCAGCGGCCCGUCUUGAAACACKGACCAAGGAGUCUAACAUCUAUGCGAGUGUUCGGGUGUCAAACCCCUACGCGHAAUGAAAGUGAACGGAGGUGGGAGCUUSGGCGCACCAUCGACCGAUCCUGAUGUCCUCGGAUGGAUUUGAGUAAGAGCAUAGCUGUUGGGACCCGAAAGAUGGUGAACUAUGCCUGAAUAGGGUGAAGCCAGAGGAAACUCUGGUGGAGGCUCGCAGCGGUUCUGACGUGCAAAUCGAUCGUCAAAUUUGGGUAUAGGGGCGAAAGACUAAUCGAACCAUCUAGUAGCUGGUUCCUGCCAU